GUCCCAGUAGCUCAGUCGGAUAGAGCGGCAGCCUCCUAAGCUGCAGGCCGUAGGUUCAAUUCCUGCCUGGGACG
Molecule: transfer RNA, 74 nt
Filed under: Bacillus sp. OxB-1
Lineage: Bacteria; Bacillati; Bacillota; Bacilli; Caryophanales; Bacillaceae
Description: tRNA-Arg (CCT) (tRNA-Arg-CCT-1-1)
Rfam family: tRNA
About the family: Transfer RNA (tRNA) molecules are approximately 80 nucleotides in length. Their secondary structure includes four short double-helical elements and three loops (D, anti-codon, and T loops).
Source: Rfam by way of RNAcentral